AACUCGGUGAAGAAAUAUCCAGGUGCGGCAAUGGCGAUAGCUCACAGCAUGGCCACACUUACCAUCACAAGCUCUCCCCUCUCUACUGCCAACAUGGAACAGUCCUCUUAAAGUCAGCUGACCCCCUUGACACCACAGUCUGACCACACGGCAUCAUGGGAAACCAGUCGGCUGUUUUGAAGUUGCUGAGCUAAGAUGUU
Etheostoma cragini (Arkansas darter) is the source of this 200-nucleotide long non-coding RNA. RefSeq lists it as uncharacterized. The transcript has 2 exons. The record is from RefSeq and is a predicted model, not a curated record. NCBI's taxonomy places the organism in Eukaryota, Metazoa, Chordata, Actinopteri, Perciformes, Percidae.